CUCCCUUUCUUUCUUUUCCUUUGGCUUGGGGUCCACCGCUAUGGUGGCAAGGGGCAGCGUACCUAUUUUUUUUCUUUUUUCGACCUCCAUAUGCAUGACCGAGCCACCAUCAUCGAUGGCACUCCAACCGCACCACCACUGUCAGCCACUCUGGCCACAUUACGAUCUAUCCCACUCCUCCCUUUCCACUCUACUCUCUAUCCCAUGGCAGCUCUAUCCUUGGUUCAGCGGAGGGAAGAAGGAAAGAAAGAAAGAAAAAAAAAUAAAGAAAGAAAAGAGAGAAAGAAAGAGAGAGAGAGAGAGGAAGAAAGAGAGAACCUAACCAAGAUUUGAUUCGAUUAGAUCCAAAUUGAUCUCUUAGUGACCAACUCAGACUGCCUGAACCA
Molecule: long non-coding RNA, 386 nt
Filed under: Elaeis guineensis (African oil palm)
Lineage: Eukaryota; Viridiplantae; Streptophyta; Magnoliopsida; Arecales; Arecaceae
Description: long non-coding RNA (EGUI_LNC014938)
Source: RNAcentral